RNAcentral lists this long non-coding RNA (581 nucleotides) under Salmo salar (Atlantic salmon). RNAcentral's name for it is "lncRNA (ENSSSAG00000107839.1)". The record is from RNAcentral. Lineage: Eukaryota; Metazoa; Chordata; Actinopteri; Salmoniformes; Salmonidae.
GACCUGUUUGUGCUUUCAGAGGGAAACAGGGUGGUUGACACCAGGCUUUAACUUAGUCUGGUCCCAGACCUGUGUAUGCUGUCAUGACAACUUCUUGUUGCCAUUGUCCUGCGGCAGGUGGCUUCAUUCCUAGACGACAUGCAGUCCUCAACCAGUCAAUGCAGACAGAAUCAUCGCACUAUCUGAUGUAAGACAAUGCCUUGUCGGAGACGGCACGACCUUAUCUGGAACCAGGCUAAGGUCAAUGACAACAGGACCAGAUCUGGAACCAGGUUUAUGUCAAUGACAACAGGACCAGAUCUGGGACCAGGUCAAUGUCUACAGGACCAGAUCUGGAACCAGGUCAAUGACAACAGGACCAGAUCUGGAACCAGGUUUAUGAUAACAGGACCAGAUCUGGAACCAGGUUUAUGAUAACAGGACCAGAUCUGGAACCAGGUUUAUGAUAACAGGACCAGAUCUGGGACCAGGUUUAUGAUAACAGGACCAGAUCUGGAACCAGGUUAAGGUCAAGAGGGUGGAAGAUACAAGGCUGUUUGUUUCUUCAGCGGAGAAUAAAACUUGUAAAAAAUACAACUGGA